AAUACUUUUUUGUAGGUUUAGUUAGAAAUAAGUUGUGGGCUCAUGAAUGUUGUGGGACUGUACAUGCACAUAAAGAUAGCAGGAAAAAUUUUGCUUUGAUCCAUUACUAUAUUUUGGCUUUUGGAGGGAGAAAUAGAAGGGAAAUUAUUAUUCAUUGCUAUCCUAGUACUAAGAGGGUGUUUAUCUUAUAAGUAAUUUACCCGUUUAUUAACAUUUUUUGGACUUAUAAGCUAAAAAAAAAAUUAAUAAAUUGGGGAGCAACUUUUCAUUUUGUUGCUUAUAAGACUUAUAAGCUAGUUUGCCCACUAUUUUACCAUGUUACCCUUGUUUAAUUUUUAAAAUUUCACCACAUAUCUCGUUUAAUAUCAUUUUUAGUAAUUUUAAUAAUAUUUGUGCUUAUAAACUACUUUUUACCAAACGUGUUUGUUACGUAUUAGCUACUUAUAAUCACUUAAACCAAACAUAUGUUGCUAAAAAUUUUAAA
Molecule: unclassified non-coding RNA, 484 nt
Filed under: Hevea brasiliensis (rubber tree)
Lineage: Eukaryota; Viridiplantae; Streptophyta; Magnoliopsida; Malpighiales; Euphorbiaceae
Source: RNAcentral